UGCACAGUAGUUCAGAGGUAUAGAGCAUCUGAGCAUGUAACCAGGGAGGUCACUGGUUCAAAUCCAGCCUGUGUUA
Molecule: non-coding RNA, 76 nt
Organism: Lentinus tigrinus ALCF2SS1-7
Lineage: Eukaryota; Fungi; Basidiomycota; Agaricomycetes; Polyporales; Polyporaceae
Source: the annotation of a GenBank genome assembly